AGGCAGCCGCGAUUAACACUGAACCACUUCAUGCUUAUAGUGAAUUACUUCAAAAUCUGUUUUCGUAAGUUGUCCCAUAGAGAGUUGAUUUGUAAAAGGGAAAAUAACAGCAAUGUAUCAGAUUGCAGUUUAUCAGUAUCACUGCAAACGUUAUACCUAGUUUUCCCUCCUCUUACUCCCUUUCCCUUCUUUCGUAUCGCUUCAUUUAAAAACGCUCGAAAUAAACCGCCCAGCGUACUUAGUGGGCGCAGCUUCGUGCCGUCAGGAAUGCGUAUUUCCUUUAGCAACGAUACUUGGUGUCAGAAGCGCCGAAACCUCGCCGUAAUGGAUACUGUCAGGCAUCCCGAGCCGCAGCGUUGUCGGGGAAUAUACGCAGAAACUGGCGGAGUUUCAGGCAAAAACUGGAGCUUUCCCUUGCUGCGACGCCCGCUGAAGCACUGAAGGCAGAAGCCACGAAGACAGCAAUCCUCAGCACCGCUGGUGAAGAUGCCCUCGACCCCAUCUAUAACAACUUCUCCUUCACAAAAGAUGAUGGCCGCUCUCCAGGCGAACUGCUGCAAGGCCGGCACCUUCGCACUGCCCUGCCCAGGUACGACGAGGAUCCCAGUAGCAAAGCAUCACCAGUCUGCGAAGGUGCUGCCGCCGCUCAAAGAGGGAAGUUCGGUUCGAAAUGGAGACUGGUCACGCGCAGCGACAGUAAGCAAGAAAGUAGCUCCAAGGUCGUGCAUGGUGAAGACCGAGAACUAGCGGAUGCUGAGGUGAAACAGCCAACGAUGACCUCAGCCCUCAGGGACAACCACAUGGAGCCAGACACAGCGUGAUGGAUCCCACGACUGUAAUGCAUGGUUCAAACCAUGCAGAUGCAAACUCGUCUGGUCUACGAAAGUCAGCCAGGCAACGUCGAUGGUUGCAUUAUGAUAGCAACUUUCACGAAGUUUCCUAGAUUUUUUUUAUCAGGCAGAGAAGAUGUAUAAGACUGCGGUUUAUCAGUAUCACUGUAAGCGUCAUACCUAGUCUUCUCUUACUCCCUUUCCCUUCCUUCGUAUCGGUUCCCUUAAAAACGCUGGAAAUAAACCGGCCAGCGUUCUUAGUGGGCGCAGCCUCUUGCCGUCAGGACUGCAUAGUUCCUUUAGCAACAAUGCAAGCGCUACUUUUCUUUAAUGCGUUUUUCUUCCCCCGCCUGGGACCCUAGCGUCAGUGCGUCUGUGUGGCGUCAAGGAAUUCCAAGUAUUUUCUCAUGCUUGGGCCAUUAUGAGGCUAGUUCUGGAAACUUGCUAAGUCGCGUUUUUUUCUAGAAUGCAUUGUGGCUCAUCUUUACAAUAAACGAACUAUUGCAACUACGUCAUCAAAGUGACGUCAAG
Molecule: long non-coding RNA, 1361 nt
Organism: Dermacentor albipictus
Lineage: Eukaryota; Metazoa; Arthropoda; Arachnida; Ixodida; Ixodidae
Source: RefSeq, a predicted model, not a curated record